RNAcentral lists this ribosomal RNA (430 nucleotides) under Bacillota bacterium. RNAcentral's name for it is "Firmicutes bacterium partial 16S ribosomal RNA". It matches the Rfam family "Bacterial small subunit ribosomal RNA", at positions 355 to 776 of the family's 1533-position model. Lineage: Bacteria; Bacillati; Bacillota. The record is from RNAcentral.
UAGGGAAUCUUCCGCAAUGGACGAAAGUCUGACGGAGCGACGCCGCGUGAGCGAAGAAGGUCUUCGGAUCGUAAAGCUCUGUUGUUAGGGAAGAAGAAGUGCCGUUCGAACAGGGCGGCACGGUGACGGUACCUAACGAGAAAGCCCCGGCUAACUACGUGCCAGCAGCCGCGGUAAUACGUAGGGGGCGAGCGUUGUCCGGAAUUAUUGGGCGUAAAGCGCGGGCAGGCGGUCCCUUAAGUCUGAUGUGAAAGCCCACGGCUUAACCGUGGAGGGUCAUUGGAAACUGGGGGACUUGAGUGCAGAAGAGGAGAGCGGAAUUCCACGUGUAGCGGUGAAAUGCGUAGAGAUGUGGAGGAACACCAGUGGCGAAGGCGGCUCUCUGGUCUGUAACUGACGCUGAGGCGCGAAAGCGUGGGGAGCAAACAGG